GUCUGACUUUGAUUGUUCCACUGAUUUGGGCUUCUAGGUUGCCGAUAAUCCUGAACACUAGGGCGCACCUGACCAGGAUUUUGGUAUUGGGGAUAGUUUUGAGUCCGGGAAUUCCACUGAUUAGGAUUUUGUUGUGGUUGCUGCUGAUGAUGAGAAAAGCCAUGAGCAGGGGAAUUCAACUGAUUAGGAUUCACCUGACUAGGAUUUCGGAACUGGGGAUAGUUUUGACCUUGAGGACUCCAUUGAUUUUGGUUUUGUCGUGGUUGUUGAGGAAAUGAAGCAGGGUAUCCCCCAUUCGCGUUACUCUGGUUCAAAUUUUGGAAAUAGAACUGAUCGUUACCAGGGUUUAUAUGUUGAGGAGGUUGUUGAUGGGUCUGGGUCCGUGCAUUCCAUUGAUUAUGGCUCCUUUCGCCUUGAGAGGGCCACUGAUUAGGG
Molecule: unclassified non-coding RNA, 435 nt
Filed under: Hevea brasiliensis (rubber tree)
Lineage: Eukaryota; Viridiplantae; Streptophyta; Magnoliopsida; Malpighiales; Euphorbiaceae
Source: RNAcentral